UUCACUUUGGUUAACAACCUAAGUGAAUGCACGCUUCCAAAGUCCCACUCUGAUGUUUCUUUCUUUAAAGGCAAUAAUACUCUUUCAGUUGCUUUGGUUCUGAUCCUGGGAUUUAGUAAUAUCUUAUAGUGACAACCCCUGUGGUUCUUCACUUUUGGAUAUCUACUUCACAAGUCCAUACAUGUGUCCCUUUUGUGAUUUUGUGACACAUUCAUUAUAAGGGUUAUGAAAGUGAUUUCCUAUCACAUAGGAAAAUGCUUUCUUAAAUCUACAACAUUUGAGAUUUAAUUUCCCUAUUUAAUAUCCUUGAGAUAGCCUUGCUAUAUCAAUAAGUCCAAUUUCAAGUCUAUACUUCAAAAUUGACUGUCAUGUUUUGUCAUUUCUCGAGUAACAUCUAUGUUUUAUCAAGUCUAUCAAAUAGACUUUAUUCACAUCUUGUUGCUCAAAUUAUGACAUCACUCCCACUGGCCUUGUUGUAACUUAGCAUUCAUUCAAAAAUAACAAUUAUAUUUUCUUGAUUUGAAUGCAUAUUGCUCCCACUUAACUUAAAUGAAUCAUACACAAAAGAAUUCCUUCUCAAGUGAUUCCAUUUGAAAUGUGUGACUUGUUUCAUUAAGUCUAUUCAUUUAAAUUAUAUGGUGUCAUACACCAUACUUCAAGUUUUAGUCAUACUAAGACCUUUAAUGUAGUCAUAUAAGAAUUAUCCAAGUCUUUAGUGGAAGCAUGGCUCCUACUAAGGAUAUAGAAACUCAACCAUUCCUUCUAGGUGGUUGAUAUAAUUCUUUAUCAAAACUACAUAGAGCGUUGUAGUUACAUGAGAUGUUGAAUUUGGAUUGUCUUGUUGUUAAACCAUAUGUUGCGACUCAUUUUGAAACUAUUUCCCUUUUGUUUCAUCAACUUGUCCAUAUGCUUAGUUAUUUAGCUUGUUCUCAUAAAAGAGAAUGAUGGACAACUCCCAACAUAUAACCAUUUUAUGCUAGGUUGACGAAACCAACAUUCAAAGACUAUUCUUUAGAAUGUCACACAACAUAGACGUUUGAAGAGCUUGAGUCCUUUUAACAAUUAAAAUUACAAACUUUUAAUAAUAGUCAAGUACUAUUAUUCUUUAGACAACUAUAAACCAAUCACAUUCAAGUUUAUAUCCAUUUUCACACCUCCCACUAUUUCUCAUGACUUUAAUGAGAAAUCAUUUCAUACAUUCAAAAAUGUAUAAAAGUGGAGUAUAUUGGAAGAAGACAUUGUGUAGUAGCUUUAAAACAUUUCAAGCUUAUUUGUUUCAAUCUUCACUAAGUUAAUGUCUUGUUAUUAAGUGACUAAAGUCUUUAAACAUUUUAUAGAUUUAGAUACUUCUUUCUUGGUUUAAUCACUAACACAAUUGACAUUUUAAAACCUUUUAAAGAAUGCCCAAUUAGUUGUUCAAAACUACUAAUUGAAUCAAGAGUGAUCUUGAUCAUUGUGUUUCAAGUGGUAACCAUAUAAGAAACGUUUUUCUUAUUACUUAUAUCAUUAUAAUGUGAUCUUCCUUUUCUUCAAGAAAGGAUACUCUAGACUUUUGUCAAUUCAUAUAGAACUUAUAGGUAGACAAAUGGAACCAAAUCUAAAGAUUCAUUGUAUCCUUUUAUGUCCUACA
RNAcentral lists this long non-coding RNA (1630 nucleotides) under Malus domestica (apple). RNAcentral describes it as "long non-coding RNA (MDOM_LNC008598)". The record is from RNAcentral. Lineage: Eukaryota; Viridiplantae; Streptophyta; Magnoliopsida; Rosales; Rosaceae.